Colletotrichum somersetense is the source of this 102-nucleotide non-coding RNA. Lineage: Eukaryota; Fungi; Ascomycota; Sordariomycetes; Glomerellales; Glomerellaceae. The record is from the annotation of a GenBank genome assembly.
GGUCGAUUGGCCCAGUGGUUAAGGCACUUGCUUUACAGUCAAUUUCGAUUCCGAACGAACUGUACUCGCAAGGGAUCGCAGGUUCGAUCCCUGCAUCGAUCA